This is a long non-coding RNA of Papaver somniferum (opium poppy), 876 nucleotides long. RefSeq lists it as uncharacterized. The transcript has 4 exons. The record is from RefSeq and is a predicted model, not a curated record. Lineage: Eukaryota; Viridiplantae; Streptophyta; Magnoliopsida; Ranunculales; Papaveraceae.
AAACUAAGCCGCCUCUCAAUGCAUUCUCCUCUCCUUACCCUUGCGCCUCAACUUCUCUUCUUCUCAUCCAACUAGUUCGAUCGAUCAAAUUAUCUGGUACUUACUCCUAUUUUCUAAUCGUAGAAGAAGAUGAUGGAUUCAUCCGCUGAAUCUUCAAACUCGAAGGGAACGAAGGGAUUUUCAGUAAACCUAGCUAUUCUGGAUUGUAACCAAGCUGCAAGUUAAUUUGUCGUGGAUGAAGGAUGAACGAUAAUAACUCUGUUACACCCAGAAACCCCGAGACAAUGGAAAUCUCACCGCUCUUUGGUGGUGAUAUCAUCCUUAUCAAGGACAUAUUGAAGACACAAGGGGGACGCGUAGAUUGUUCAAUGCUGUUGAAUCUAUUCCCCGUGUUACAAGGAAGGAAAAGUGGGCCUUGAAUUGGAUUCGAAGCUGGAGAUUUAUAGGUUUCAGCACAAGCUGUUCUUGUACGAUACAAACAUCGACAAAUGUUAUCAGGUUUUCAAAGUUACCUAAAGCUGUACUCUAUACAUCAAUUUAGAAGCUUGCAAGUUAUAUGGAAAUUGAUGAGCGUUCUUUAAGGUUGAUGAUUAGAGAUUGGGAACCAAAAUUGUUUUCACUUUUCCCAGUUUAGGACCUGCACAUCCCAGGCCAAUUUUUAUGACUUAGAAGCACAAAAGCCAUCCUGUUUCUGUUGACGGCUGAAAGAUUACCUCCAAUGCGGGUUAAUUUACUUUUUGAUGCCUGUGACUGUGUUUUUAGAUCUUUUGUACGGAUAUUAUUGAUUUGUAAGAAUAACUAUAUGGCACACUAUACAGGAAUCAGUGUAUUGUAAUGUUUUUCAAAUAAAUAAAUAAAUAGAAUGUUCACUUUCAA